UACGUAGGGGGCGAGCGUUGUCCGGAAUUACUGGGCGUAAAGGGCGCGUAGGCGGCUCAUUAAGUCAGGUGUGAAAAACCUGGGCUCAACCGAGGGGAUGCAUCUGAUACUGGUGAGCUUGAGUUAAGGAGAGGGGAGCGGAAUUCCUGGUGUAGCGGUGAAAUGCGUAGAUAUCAGGAGGAAUACCAGUGGCGAAGGCGGCUCUCUGGACUUAAACUGACGCUGAGGCGCGAAAGCGUGGGGAGCAAACAGG
RNAcentral lists this ribosomal RNA (253 nucleotides) under uncultured bacterium. RNAcentral's name for it is "partial 16S ribosomal RNA". It matches the Rfam family "Bacterial small subunit ribosomal RNA", at positions 524 to 776 of the family's 1533-position model. The record is from RNAcentral.